AUUGAACGCUGGCGGCGUGCCUAACACAUGCAAGUCGAGCGGUAACAGGUGUAGCAAUACAUGCUGACGAGCGGCGAACGGGUGAGUAAUGCUUCGGAAUCUGCCCAUGUAGUGGGGAAUAACCAGCCGAAAGGUUGGCUAAUACCGCAUACGACCCUUGCCCACAAGGCAAAGGUAGAAAACAAGGGGAGUCGCAAGACCUUGCGCUAUUGGAUGAGCCGAAGCGGAUUAGCUAGUUGGUAGGGUAACGGCCUACCAAGGCGACGAUCCGUAGCUGGUCUGAGAGGACGACCAGCCACACUGGGACUGAGACACGGCCCA
Molecule: ribosomal RNA, 321 nt
Filed under: uncultured bacterium
Lineage: Bacteria
Description: bacterial SSU rRNA
Rfam family: Bacterial small subunit ribosomal RNA
Source: RNAcentral